AGUGAACGCUGGCGGCAGGCCUAAUACAUGCAAGUCGAACGGCAGCACAGUGGAGCUUGCUCCAUGGGUGGCGAGUGGCGGACGGGUGAGGAAUACAUGGGAAUCUGCCCAGUCGUGGGGGAUAACGUAUGGAAACGUACGCUAAUACCGCAUGCGCCCUUCGGGGAAAGUCGGGGACCGCAAGGCCUGACGCGAUUGGAUGAGCCCAUGUACGAUUAGCUAGUUGGCGGGUAACGGCCCACCAAGGCGACGAUCGAUAGCUGGUCUGAGAGGAUGAUCAGCCACACUGGAACUGAGACACGGUCCAGACUCCUACGGGAGGCAGCAGUAGGGAAUAUUGGACAAUGGGCGCAAGCCUGAUCCAGCCAUGCCGCGUGAGUGAAGAAGGCCCUCGGGUUGUAAAGCUCUUUUGUUGGGGAAGAAAAAGGCAGUUGGUUAAUACCCGAUUGUUCUGACGGUACCCAAAGAAUAAGCACCGGCUAAACUUCGUGCCAGCAGCCG
RNAcentral lists this ribosomal RNA (501 nucleotides) under uncultured bacterium. RNAcentral's name for it is "bacterial SSU rRNA". It matches the Rfam family "Bacterial small subunit ribosomal RNA", at positions 29 to 517 of the family's 1533-position model. The record is from RNAcentral.